This 77-nucleotide transfer RNA is filed under the name Candidatus Latescibacterota bacterium. RNAcentral's name for it is "tRNA-Ile". It matches the Rfam family "tRNA". From Rfam's summary of the family: Transfer RNA (tRNA) molecules are approximately 80 nucleotides in length. Their secondary structure includes four short double-helical elements and three loops (D, anti-codon, and T loops). Further hydrogen bonds mediate the characteristic L-shaped molecular structure. tRNAs have two regions of fundamental functional importance: the anti-codon, which is responsible for specific mRNA codon recognition, and the 3' end, to which the tRNAs corresponding amino acid is attached (by aminoacyl-tRNA synthetases). tRNAs cope with the degeneracy of the genetic code in two manners: having more than one tRNA (with a specific anti-codon) for a particular amino acid; and 'wobble' base-pairing, i.e. permitting non-standard base-pairing at the 3rd anti-codon position. Lineage: Bacteria; Pseudomonadati; Candidatus Latescibacterota. The record is from RNAcentral.
GCGCUUAUGGUGAAAGUGGAAUCACACUCGGUUUGAUGAACCGGGAGUUCAAGGUUCGAUCCCUUGUAGGCGCUCCA